RNAcentral lists this ribosomal RNA (871 nucleotides) under uncultured organism. Its description in RNAcentral is "bacterial SSU rRNA". It matches the Rfam family "Bacterial small subunit ribosomal RNA", at positions 1 to 869 of the family's 1533-position model. The record is from RNAcentral.
GGCUUAGAGUUUGAUCAUGGCUCAGGAUGAACGCUAGCGGCAGGCUUAACACAUGCAAGUCGAGGGGCAGCAUAAUGGUAGCAAUACUAUUGAUGGCGACCGGCGGACGGGUGCGUAACGCGUAUGCAACCUACCCUUUACAGGGGGAUAGCACUGAGAAAUCGGUACUAAUACCCCAUAAUAUUCUGGGAGGCAUCUUUCGGAGUUGAAAGCUUUGGUGGUAAAGGAUGGGCAUGCGUUGUAUUAGCUAGUUGGUAAGGUAACGGCUUACCAAGGCGACGAUACAUAGGGGGACUGAGAGGUUAACCCCCCACAUUGGUACUGAGACACGGACCAAACUCCUACGGGAGGCAGCAGUGAGGAAUAUUGGUCAAUGGACGGAAGUCUGAAUCAGCCAUGCCGCGUGCAGGAAGACGGCUCUAUGAGUUGUAAACUGCUUUUGUACGAGGGUAAACGCAGAUACGUGUAUCUGCCUGAAAGUAUCGUACGAAUAAGGAUCGGCUAACUCCGUGCCAGCAGCCGCGGUAAUACGGAGGAUCCAAGCGUUAUCCGGAUUUAUUGGGUUUAAAGGGUGCGUAGGCGGUUUAGUAAGUCAGCGGUGAAAUUUUGGUGCUUAACAACAAACGUGCCGUUGAUACUGCUGGGCUAGAGAGUAGUUGCGGUAGGCGGAAUGUAUGGUGUAGCGGUGAAAUGCUUAGAGAUCAUACAGAACACCGAUUGCGAAGGCAGCUUACCAAACUAUAUCUGACGUUGAGGCACGAAAGCGUGGGGAGCAAACAGGAUUAGAUACCCUGGUAGUCCACGCAGUAAACGAUGAUAGCUCGUUGUCGGCGAUACACAGUCGGUGACUAAGAGAAAUCGAUAAGCUAUC